This 492-nucleotide ribosomal RNA is filed under the name uncultured bacterium. RNAcentral describes it as "partial 16S ribosomal RNA". It matches the Rfam family "Bacterial small subunit ribosomal RNA", at positions 29 to 507 of the family's 1533-position model. The record is from RNAcentral.
AGUGAACGCUGGCGGUAGGCCUAACAUAUGCAAGUCGAACGGCAGCACAGUAAGAGCUUGCUCUUACGGGUGGCGAGUGGCGGACGGGUGAGGAAUACAUCGGAAUCUACUUUUUCGUGGGGGAUAACGUAGGGAAACUUACGCUAAUACCGCAUACGACCUACGGGUGAAGGCAGGGGAUCUUCGGACCUUGCGCGAUUGAAUGAGCCGAUGUCGGAUUAGCUAGUUGGCGGGGUAAAGGCCCACCAAGGCGACGAUCCGUAGCUGGUCUGAGAGGAUGAUCCGCCACACUGGAACUGAGACACGGUCCAGACUCCUACGGGAGGCAGCAGUGGGGAAUAUUGGACAGUGGGCGCAAGCCUGAUCCAGCCAUACCGCGUGGGUGAAGAAGGCCUUCGGGUUGUAAAGCCCUUUUGUUGGGAAAGAAAAGCAGCAGGUUAAUACCCCGCUGUUCUGACGGUACCCAAAGAAUAAGCACCGGCUAACUUCGUG